GUGAUAUUGUUGGUUGGUUGGUA
Molecule: non-coding RNA, 23 nt
Filed under: Arabidopsis thaliana (thale cress)
Lineage: Eukaryota; Viridiplantae; Streptophyta; Magnoliopsida; Brassicales; Brassicaceae
Source: RNAcentral